This 274-nucleotide ribosomal RNA is filed under the name uncultured bacterium. RNAcentral's name for it is "partial 16S ribosomal RNA". It matches the Rfam family "Bacterial small subunit ribosomal RNA", at positions 523 to 796 of the family's 1533-position model. The record is from RNAcentral.
CUACGGAGGGGACUAGCGUUGUUCGGAAUUACUGGGCGUAAAGAGUUCGUAGGCGGACUGAUAAGUAAGAGGUGAAAUCCCAGGGCUCAACCCUGGAACUGCCUUUUAAACUGUCAGUCUAGAGACCGGAAGAGGUUAGGGGAAUACCUAGUGUAGAGGUGAAAUUCGUAGAUAUUAGGUGGAACACCAGUGGCGAAGGCGCCUAACUGGUCCGGUACUGACGCUGAGGAACGAAAGCGUGGGGAGCAAACAGGAUUAGAUACCCUAGUAGUCC